AAAUCGUACCCCAAACCGACACAGGUGGUCAGGUAGAGAAUACCAAGGCGCUUGAGAGAACUCGGGUGAAGGAACUAGGCAAAAUGGUGCCGUAACUUCGGGAGAAGGCACGCUGGUGUGUAGGUGAAGUCCCUGCGGAUGGAGCUGAGACCAGUCGAAGAUACCAGCUGGCUGCAACUGUUUAUUAAAAACACAGCACUGUGCAAACACGAAAGUGGACGUAUACGGUGUGACGCCUGCCCGGUGCCGGAAGGUUAAUUGAUGGGGUUAUCCGUAAGGAGAAGCUCUUGAUCGAAGCCCCGGUAAACGGCGGCCGUAACUAUAACGGUCCUAAGGUAGCGAAAUUCCUUGUCGGGUAAGUUCCGACCUGCACGAAUGGCGUAAUGAUGGCCAGGCUGUCUCCACCCGAGACUCAGUGAAAUUGAACUCGCUGUGAAGAUGCAGUGUACCCGCGGCAAGACGGAAAGACCCCGUGAACCUUUACUAUAGCUUGACACUGAACAUUGAGCCUUGAUGUGUAGGAUAGGUGGGAGGCUUUGAAGCGUGGACGCCAGUCUGCGUGGAGCCAACCUUGAAAUACCACCCUUUAAUGUUUGAUGUUCUAACGUUGGCCCCUUACCGGGGUUGCGGACAGUGUCUGGUGGGUAGUUUGACUGGGGCGGUCUCCUCCCAAAGCGUAACGGAGGAGCACGAAGGUUAGCUAAUCCUGGUCGGACAUCAGGAGGUUAGUGCAAUGGCAUAAGCUAGCUUGACUGCGAGCGUGACGGCGCGAGCAGGUGCGAAAGCAGGUCAUAGUGAUCCGGUGGUUCUGAAUGGAAGGGCCAUCGCUCAACGGAUAAAAGGUACUCCGGGGAUAACAGGCUGAUACCGCCCAAGAGUUCAUAUCGACGGCGGUGUUUGGCACCUCGAUGUCGGCUCAUCACAUCCUGGGGCUGAAGUAGGUCCCAAGGGUAUGGCUGUUCGCCAUUUAAAGUGGUACGCGAGCUGGGUUUAGAACGUCGUGAGACAGUUCGGUCCCUAUCUGCCGUGGGCGCUGGAGAAUUGAGGGGGGCUGCUCCUAGUACGAGAGGACCGGAGUGGACGCAUCACUGGUGUUCGGGUUGUCAUGCCAAUGGCACUGCCCGGUAGCUAAAUGCGGAAGAGAUAAGUGCUGAAAGCAUCUAAGCACGAAACUUGCCCCGAGAUGAGUUCUCCCUGAGACUUUAAGUCUCCUGAAGGAACGUUAAAGACGAUGACGUUGAUAGGCCGGGUGUGUAAGCGCAGCGAUGCGUUGAGCUAACCGGUACUAAUGAACCGUGAGGCUUAACCUU
RNAcentral lists this ribosomal RNA (1310 nucleotides) under Klebsiella pneumoniae. Its description in RNAcentral is "bacterial LSU rRNA". It matches the Rfam family "Bacterial large subunit ribosomal RNA", at positions 1639 to 2925 of the family's 2925-position model. Lineage: Bacteria; Pseudomonadati; Pseudomonadota; Gammaproteobacteria; Enterobacterales; Enterobacteriaceae. The record is from RNAcentral. RNAcentral also lists the same sequence under 7 other names.